Molecule: ribosomal RNA, 253 nt
Filed under: uncultured bacterium
Lineage: Bacteria
Description: partial 16S ribosomal RNA
Rfam family: Bacterial small subunit ribosomal RNA
Source: RNAcentral
UACGAAGGGGGCUAGCGUUGCUCGGAAUCACUGGGCGUAAAGCGCACGUAGGCGGACUCUUAAGUCGGUGGUGAAAUCCUGGAGCUCAACUCCAGAACUGCCUUCGAUACUGAGAGUCUCGAGUCCGGGAGAGGUGAGUGGAACUGCGAGUAUAGAGGUGAAAUUCGUAGAUAUUCGCAAGAACACCAGUGGCGAAGGCGGCUCACUGGCCCGGUACUGACGCUGAGGUGCGAAAGCGUGGGUAGCGAACAGG